AUGAAAUAUUUCCGCGGACGCCUCCCCGCUUCCCUCCCCGCUAGGCGGCCCGAGAUCCCAAUUUUCGUCCAAAUUUCCAAGAUUUGCCGGCGCUUCGUCGAACCAAAACAGCAAAACCCACAGAUUCGUCCCCUCCCUCCACUUCUACCCAGCCUAAAUUUCCCUCCGAAACUCAAAUCUUCUGGCCUGCUCCCUCCCUCCGACCUCCGGUACAAAUACCCAUGGAUUCUUCCCUCCCUUCGCCAGCACCACCCGAGCUACCUCCCGGCCUGGUACCACCAACCUCCAAUCCGAAGAGCCUCUGCUCGUAUGAGCUCCAAGAUGGCAGCUGACAGCGGCGACCAGGAGAACCUGCCGCCUAGUACAACGCCUCCGACUGCGACGGCUGCUGUCGUCCGCCCUCGUCAUUUUGGGGUCAAGAAAGGCCAGAUGAAGCGGCUCGGCAGGGCGCGGAGGCGGGCGCCGCUCAAGGACAUCACCAACCACUUCGCCGUGGAGACUGCAUCUGCCGAGGUGCAAGCUCUGCAGCAGCCGGAGGAGGGGUCGGAGGGGGACACGGCGAAGGAGGAGCCGGCGGCGCAGACGAACGCGCUUGCCAGUGCUGCGUCUGUUAAGGCGAGGAGGAACUCGCUCCGGAAGGAGUUUAGAUAG
RNAcentral lists this ribosomal RNA (651 nucleotides) under Triticum aestivum (bread wheat). Its description in RNAcentral is "partial small subunit ribosomal RNA". Lineage: Eukaryota; Viridiplantae; Streptophyta; Magnoliopsida; Poales; Poaceae. The record is from RNAcentral.